GAUGAACGCUGGCGGCGUGCCUAAUACAUGCAAGUCGAGCGAACGGACGAGAAGCUUGCUUCUCUGAUGUUAGCGGCGGACGGGUGAGUAACACGUGGUUAACCUACCUAUAAGACUGGGAUAACUUCGGGAAACCGUAGCUAAUACCGGAUAAUAUUUUGAACCGCAUGGUUCAAAAGUGAAAGACGGUCUUGCUGUCACUUAUAGAUGGAUCCGCGCUGCAUUAGCUAGUUGGUAAGGUAACGGCUUACCAAGGCAACGAUGCAUAGCCGACCUGAGAAGGUGAUCGGCCACACUGGAACUGAGACACGGUCCAGACUCCUACGGGAUGCAUCAGUAGGGAAUCUUCCGCAAUGGGCGAAAGCCUGACGGAGCAACGCCGCGUGAGUGAUGAAGGUCUUCGGAUCGUAAAACUCUGUUAUUAGGGAAGAACAUAUGUGUAAGUAACUGUGCACAUCUUGACGGUACCUAAUCAGAAAGCCACGGCUAACUACGUG
This 497-nucleotide ribosomal RNA is filed under the name uncultured bacterium. Its description in RNAcentral is "partial 16S ribosomal RNA". It matches the Rfam family "Bacterial small subunit ribosomal RNA", at positions 28 to 507 of the family's 1533-position model. The record is from RNAcentral.